RNAcentral lists this non-coding RNA (27 nucleotides) under Homo sapiens (human). Lineage: Eukaryota; Metazoa; Chordata; Mammalia; Primates; Hominidae. The record is from RNAcentral.
GAUAUGGUUGAUGCCUGUAUGGUUGAA